UGAUGGAUCCUCUCAAGUUGCUAUGUACAGCUACUUCUGCAUCUGACCACGUGUCCUCCCCCGAGCUUGAAGAAGACCAGGUCUGACUCUUCCUGGUGUGGUGAGGGCUGUGAAGGAGUUAGGUGUUCCUGCCCUGAAGGUCCAGCUCCCCACUUCCUAUUUUCUCAGGGCAGCCCACCCUCAGGGGUCAGGGAAGAGAGCCAGCCCAGCACCUUCAACCUAGAAUUUUAUGCUGAAACUAUUGAUUAAAUAUGC
RNAcentral lists this long non-coding RNA (255 nucleotides) under Suricata suricatta (meerkat). RNAcentral describes it as "lncRNA (ENSSSUG00005006081.1)". Lineage: Eukaryota; Metazoa; Chordata; Mammalia; Carnivora; Herpestidae. The record is from RNAcentral.